GGAGGGUAUAGCUCAGUGGUAGAGUGUGUGCUUGGCAUGCACAAGGUCCUGGGUUCAAGCCCCAGUACCUCCA
This 73-nucleotide transfer RNA is filed under the name Vicugna pacos (alpaca). RNAcentral's name for it is "tRNA-Ala (GGC) (tRNA-Ala-GGC-13-1)". It matches the Rfam family "tRNA". Rfam says of the family: Transfer RNA (tRNA) molecules are approximately 80 nucleotides in length. Their secondary structure includes four short double-helical elements and three loops (D, anti-codon, and T loops). The record is from RNAcentral. Lineage: Eukaryota; Metazoa; Chordata; Mammalia; Artiodactyla; Camelidae.